RNAcentral lists this long non-coding RNA (458 nucleotides) under Ananas comosus (pineapple). RNAcentral's name for it is "long non-coding RNA (ACOM_LNC014668)". Lineage: Eukaryota; Viridiplantae; Streptophyta; Magnoliopsida; Poales; Bromeliaceae. The record is from RNAcentral.
UACUUUCAUACAGGUCCCUAUAAAUACAGUGAAUUACAAAUAUAUCCCUAUAAUAAAGUUUAACUUCAAAUGUUGUCUCUGUAAAAGUUCUAAUAUUUUCAAAUAUAUCCCUCUGGUUUGUUAUCAUUAAAAUAUUAUUUAUUUUAUAAGUGAAAUGACAUUUUUGCCAUAACAAAUAUGUCUCUCUAAAAGUCUUAACUAUUAAUUAAAAAAAGGUAAGAAGAUCAAUUCACCCCAUUAACUAACUAGGAUUAAAUAUUUUAUCUAUGACUAAUUAAUUUUUUUUAACGGAUCCAAAUGGCAGAGACACAUUUGAAAAUAUCAGGUUUUUUGUAGGGACAGUAUAUGAAAGUUUAUAGAAGUAUAUUUGUAAUUCACUAUAUUUGUAAGGACCUGUAUGAAAUUAACCCUAAUAUUAAAAUUGAAAUAAAGAAAAUAGAAGCUGAGGGGGUGGAAUU